This 301-nucleotide long non-coding RNA is filed under the name Sorghum bicolor (sorghum). Its description in RNAcentral is "long non-coding RNA (SBIC_LNC003236)". The record is from RNAcentral. Lineage: Eukaryota; Viridiplantae; Streptophyta; Magnoliopsida; Poales; Poaceae.
AGCUCCUUCCAUCGGGUCCGAUUUCUUUCAUUGGCAACAACUCUCCAUCCCUGGCUGCUACAAUGCAUCGGGGUGUACGUCUCAAGAAAGUCACCACCAAGCGGACGAAGGCAUCUGUUGGGUAUUUUAAACGCAAACAGAAAAAUCCGCAAGCGCACGGAUACCGAUGUAGCUUUCACCCGGGAGUAUUCCAGAGUAUCGAUUUUCCAUAGAGAACGUGAGUGUACUAAUUAAGAUCCAAGAUCGCCCAAGGAUAACUAUAUAAUUAUUUUUGGUGGGAAGAGAGGAAGUUUCCUGAGAG